AUGGUAUUAGAGCCUACCUCUUCCACAUCUAUGUCAUCUUCCUCCUCAAGCUCUGCCAUGGCUUCCUCCCUUGCUGCGCUAGGACACACCAUCACAGAGAAGCUAGCUAGGGACAAUUUUUUGGUGUGGAAGGCCCAGGUCCUCCCACACGUGCGCGCCGCUGGACUGAUGGGCUACUUAGAUGGCACCACGGUCGAGCUGCCCACCGUUUUGGUCUCGGAGCAGGAUGUCUCCGGGAAGAAGGAGCUCUCAUCUGCUCCCAAUCCUGAUCAUGCUGUUUGGUACACGCAGGACCAGCAGGUCCUCACUUUUCUCCUUGCCUCUCUAUCACGGGAGGUUCUCCUUCAGGUGCACUCGAUCACUUCCUCUGCAGGAGUCUGGGCGGCCAUCAUACAGAUGUUCGCGUCCCAAUCCAGGGCGCGUCACAUCCAGCUUCGUGGACAACUCGGCAACACGAAGAAAGGAGACUCGUCCGCUGCCCUCUUCUUCUCCAAGAUGAAGGGCUUCGCCGACGAACUGGCGGCGGCCGGGAAACCUGUCGACGAUGAUGAUCUAGUCUCCUACAUCUUGCAGGGGCUGGACUCGGAUUACAACCCGUACGUCGCAGCUCUCUCCACCCGCACCGGGACUGAUCAGCAGAUCGGUCUCACGGAGCUCUACUCGCUGCUGAUCACAGCAGAGGCGCGCCUCGAUGUGCAGAACGGCGGCAAUAGCAACAGCUACUCCAUCAACCUUGCCUCCAAGGGUGGCCCCCGCAACAACUCUGGCCGUCCUACUGGUGGCAGCUAUGGUGGGGGCGACACCUCCAACAACUUCUCCAACAAUGGUGUCGUCCAAUCUUCAGGAGGAGGGGGUGCUGAGAAGUGUCAGAUUUGCAAACAUGAAGGGCAUGCUGCAUGGCGCUGCUACAAAUGUUUUGACAAGACCUUCAACCCCCCUCCCAAGCGACAAGGCGGCGGCAGUGGCAACGGCGGCGACGGCAAGAAAUCUGCCAACGCUGCUGCUGCCUCCUAUGGUGUCGAUACCAAUUGGUAUCUCGACACCGGAGCCACUGAUCAUGUGACCGGCGAGUUAGAAAAGCUUGCUGUUCGUGACCGCUACACCGGACCGAAACAAAUCCACACUGCGAGUGGUCAAGGCAACGGGGGGCACAAUUCUUCACGGUCCGAGUAA
Molecule: ribosomal RNA, 1173 nt
Filed under: Triticum aestivum (bread wheat)
Lineage: Eukaryota; Viridiplantae; Streptophyta; Magnoliopsida; Poales; Poaceae
Description: partial small subunit ribosomal RNA
Source: RNAcentral